This 406-nucleotide ribosomal RNA is filed under the name uncultured bacterium. RNAcentral describes it as "partial 16S ribosomal RNA". It matches the Rfam family "Bacterial small subunit ribosomal RNA", at positions 30 to 526 of the family's 1533-position model. The record is from RNAcentral.
AUUGAACGCUGGCGGCAGGCCUAACACAUGCAAGUCGAGCGAGCGGCGGACGGGUGAGUAAUGUCUGGGAAACUGCCUGAUGGCGGGGGAUAACUACUGGAAACGGUAGCUAAUACCGCAUACCAUCAGAUGUGCCCAGAUGGGAUUAGCUAGUAGGUGGGGUAAUGGCUCACCUAGGCGCCGAUCCCUAGCGGGUCUGAGAGGAUGACCAGCCACAGUGGAACUGGGACACGGUCCAGACUCUUACGGGAGCCAGCAGUAGGGAAUAUUGCACAAUGGGCGCAAGCCUUAUUGAGUCAUGCCGAGUGAAUGAAUAAGGCUUUCGGGUUGUAAAGUACUUUCAGCGGGGAGGCGUUACACGCAGAAGAAGCACCGGCUAACUCCGUGCCAGCAGCCGCGGUAAUUC